Long non-coding RNA from Gossypium arboreum, 833 nucleotides. RefSeq lists it as uncharacterized. Lineage: Eukaryota; Viridiplantae; Streptophyta; Magnoliopsida; Malvales; Malvaceae. The record is from RefSeq and is a predicted model, not a curated record. The transcript has 3 exons.
CAAACGAGAGGUUUUUGAAUAAUAUGGAUGUCAUAUAAUAAACGAGAGAUUUCGAAAACCCCACUCCUCCACAAAGAUUAAAGUCUGUAAGCAUGCUCUCGUUUCAGCCAUGACUGCCACCUUUAAGCAUUCAGAAAACAGGCCUCAGCACCGUCUCUCGGUACAGAUUUCGGCGAUCUUCCUCAACUUGUGGUUCUGCAAAGUCUGGCACACCUCCAAUAAGUAUCCAGAAGUCUUUUAACCACUGAGCGCCUCCCCUUCAAUUAUAACCUCUUGGAGCUUCAGAUCUAGCCCCAUCCAAACUGCUUGAAGGCAUGUAAGGGCUUCUGCCGCAAACUCAGUAGUUAUGUUUGCAGACAACCUGUCUUUAGAGCGUCGAGCUCACCAAUGUAUGCACCUACUUCAUCAACUACCUCUUGUGAUGUUUGUGCGAUUCCGUCAUGGAUCGAUCUAUUCCCUGAUGCCCACAAAAACCACAUAGCACACUAUUACCCUACAGAUUUGAUUAGAGGAUUUUGAAAACAAAUUUGUUAUCCAGUCUUGGAAAUUAUAAUCUGAUACUUCUUGCGGCUACUAGACAUUUAACUUCCGCCAUAUUUCUUCUGCUAUAAGGCAUUCUCAGAACAACUGCUCUAUCGUUUCUGAAUCGCUCGAAUAUCUCGGACAGAUCGGGGACCCCAUCAAGAGUCCGUUAUACAAAUUAUAGAAAUUAAGGAUAAAUUUACGAAAUAUUCGCCAAUUUGUAAUUUUAAUCUUUUCUGGCGGAUUUAGCCUCCAUAAUUUCUUGUAAAAAAGACUGUAAGAGCUUUGAUAUUCAGUAGACUUUCUAGGGA